UUAAGGGCACAUUGCAUACAAAAAUACUCGUCGCCUUAAAGCUUUCAUUUAGGAAAAGAAGUCCGAUACGGGUGAAACUUCAUCAAACCUACAGAAGAUAUUACACCCUCUCCAACCAUGCAACAUGGGACUAGACAUAGAAGUACAGGAACUACUCACAUUAGUUUGAGCUGUACAAGAUCUACAAAAAUAUCCCGCCUGCCUCAAAGGUGCAUAUAGGAUCGACCAUGGUCCAGCACUAAUGAUACAAAUACCAACCAGAGUUACAAUGACGUGGUAGUAAGUCUUUAAAGGCCACCGAGCGGCCUCCAAAAAUGAAAAAAAAAACUACUAUUUAGUCGGCUAUUAAAUGCCCCGACCAUUAAGAUUUAAAAACAAAAAUCAAACAAAACUAAACAGCCUUAUUGAUAACAAAAUAAUUUACGAAAACAACUUGACCGACAUGAAUUAUGAACAACAACCACUGUACUACAUGUUUCUGGCUUUAGAAUGGACAUUGGCACAUAAACAAUGUGGUGGCCAUAAACCCAACCCUCCCAAAUGAACCAAACCUUAAGGACAACACAUCGCAAGAAAAAAACUGUAAAAUAUCAGUUGCAAUUCGCGUCCCUAAAAUUAUGGGUACGGUGCACAAUAAUCACUUACAUAAAAACAAUAGACACAAAUCACUGAAAUAAUCGCACUUACC
Molecule: long non-coding RNA, 688 nt
Filed under: Mytilus galloprovincialis (Mediterranean mussel)
Lineage: Eukaryota; Metazoa; Mollusca; Bivalvia; Mytilida; Mytilidae
Source: RNAcentral